Molecule: ribosomal RNA, 322 nt
Filed under: uncultured eukaryote
Lineage: Eukaryota
Description: partial 18S ribosomal RNA
Rfam family: Eukaryotic small subunit ribosomal RNA
Source: RNAcentral
CCCUUAGAUGUUCUGGGCCGCACGCGCGCUACACUGAUGCGUUCAACAAGUUUCCUUGGCCGAGAGGCCUGGGCAAUCUUCUUAAUAUGUAUCGUGAUAGGGAUAGAUUAUUGCAAUUAUUAAUCUUGAACGAGGAAUUCCUAGUAAACGCAGAUCAUCAAUCUGCAUUGAUUACGUCCCUGCCCUUUGUACACACCGCCCGUCGCACCUACCGAUUGGAUGUUCCGGUGAAGCCUCGGGAUGAGGACUGGUGCCUUUAUUGGCAUGAGUUGUUCAGAACUUGUCUAAACCUUAUCAUCUAGAGGAAGGUGAUGUCGUAACA